RNAcentral lists this ribosomal RNA (466 nucleotides) under uncultured bacterium. Its description in RNAcentral is "bacterial SSU rRNA". It matches the Rfam family "Bacterial small subunit ribosomal RNA", at positions 329 to 792 of the family's 1533-position model. The record is from RNAcentral.
UACCAGACUCCUACGGGAGGCAGCAGUGAGGAAUAUUGGUCAAUGGGCUUACGCCUGAACCAGCCAAGCCGCGUGAGGGAGGAAGGCGCAGAGCGUCGCAGACCUCUUUUGCCGGGGGACAAAAGGCCGGACUCGUCCGGUCCUGAGGGUACCCGGAGAAAAAGCAUCGGCUAACUCCGUGCCAGCAGCCGCGGUAAUACGGAGGAUGCGAGCGUUAUCCGGAUUCAUUGGGUUUAAAGGGAGCGUAGGCCGGUCUUUAAGCGUGCCGUGAAAUUUUGUGGCUCAACCAUGAGAGUGCGGCGCGAACUGGAGACCUUGAGUGCGCGGAAGGCAGGCGGAAUUCGUGGUGUAGCGGUGAAAUGCUUAGAUAUCACGAAGAACCCCGAUUGCGAAGGCAGCCUGCCGCAGCGUUACUGACGCUGAAGCUCGAAAGCGCGGGUAUCGAACAGGAUUAGAUACCCCCGUA